RNAcentral lists this ribosomal RNA (253 nucleotides) under uncultured bacterium. RNAcentral describes it as "partial 16S ribosomal RNA". It matches the Rfam family "Bacterial small subunit ribosomal RNA", at positions 524 to 776 of the family's 1533-position model. The record is from RNAcentral.
UACAGAGGUCUCAAGCGUUGUUCGGAUUCAUUGGGCGUAAAGGGUGCGUAGGUGGCGCCAUAAGUCAGGUGUGAAAUCUCGGGGCUCAACCCCGAAACUGCACUUGAUACUGUGGUGCUGGAGUACUGGAGAGGAGAUUGGAAUUUACGGUUUAGCAGUGAAAUGCGUAGAUAUCGUAAGGAAGACCAGUGGCGAAGGCGAAUCUCUGGACAGUUACUGACACUGAGGCACGAAGGCCAGGGGAGCAAACGGG